This 659-nucleotide long non-coding RNA is filed under the name Rattus norvegicus (Norway rat). RNAcentral's name for it is "long non-coding RNA NONRATT026101". Lineage: Eukaryota; Metazoa; Chordata; Mammalia; Rodentia; Muridae. The record is from RNAcentral.
CAGAAGGCCACAUUCAGGGACAGAAAGCUUACUCUGGGCCUUUCCUGGGAGCUGACUUGGCCUGGCCUCGGCCCCUUCUCUCCAUUCUGUGCCCUCUGCUCCAAGAGCAGUAACUACCUGUCUGGCUCAGAUGAACCUGUGUCUCCAGGAGGUCCUCGUACUCAGCCCAGUGAAGGAGCCCUGGGCCUCACCCUUUAGACCACUGAUCAGGACAGAAACCCAGAAGAAGGGAGUUAGUCCCCAUGUGAGCCUCAAGUAGUGCUAUCCUAUUGGUGUUUCCCUGUAUGAAUCUCCAGGGCCUCCCUGAGGCUGGAGUGGGUAUUAUAGGAUGCUCUGCACCACACUGGGCUCACACCUCAUGGCUCACAGCAUGUCUGUCUCCUCGGUGGAGAUGUCUGCCUCUGGCUAUGUGAAGUCAUUUCCAGUCUGCACAAGAAGUGAAAUGCCUCUGCUCCUCUCUCUCUCUCACUCUCUCACUCUCUCGCUCUUUCCUCUCCCCUGCUCCCCUGCUCUCCCCUUUGUCCCUUCUCUCCCCAUCCCCCACUUCCCUCCACUCUCAUGGUUGGCCUCCUUUACUUCUCCCCUCUUCUACUCUUCUCUUAUUAAACCUUUCCACUUGGAAGAAAAAAGAGAAAAAAAAAGUGAAAUGCUAUCCACCA